Molecule: long non-coding RNA, 395 nt
Filed under: Salvia miltiorrhiza (redroot sage)
Lineage: Eukaryota; Viridiplantae; Streptophyta; Magnoliopsida; Lamiales; Lamiaceae
Description: long non-coding RNA (SMIL_LNC013535)
Source: RNAcentral
GAUGCGUCUUCGACUUUUGGGCCAUUUGGCCCUAUUUUUCUCUUUCUUUUGUUUUGUUUGAGUCGUCUAGGGGAGAAAACAGGUAUUCAGGAGGAAGAAGGCUCAGUCAAGGGCAUAUGCACGAAAUGUGGUCAGAAUGGGCAUUACCGGAACAAAACUAUCCAAGCUUCCAGAAGUGAAACUUACCAGGAAGAGAGCUCGGCGAAGUACCCCUCAGAACCAUUCGAGGCGCGGGAAUCUCCGAAGUGUACCACCUGGUGUGAGGCUAACCGAAGGAAGCAGUUGGUAAGGCCAUAACAACAGUCGCAGUCAGCACAGAUGAGCUAUAUAUGAACCAGGAAGAGAGCUUGACGAAGUACCCCUCAGAACCAUUCGAGGCGCGGGAACGUUCGAAG